AUACGAUUGGCUGCAGCAUAAGUAAGGCAAAAUCACAAGUGGACCAUCACACACUUGUCUAAGUCAAUGUACAUAGAUUUGUUUGGAAUCGGGUUGGAACCCACUUCAACUUUUCGACUCGUGAUAGCUAGGCUUAGACAAUCAGAACUGCCAGUGGUUGAUAAGGCUGGGUCAAGGAGUGUAGGCUGGUAGCUUGUUUGCACUGGACGCACGUAGACCAAGAAGGAAGGAGGACGUCAGGAGAGGAUCACUGCAAAGACUUAGACUAGAGCAUCAUGGGAUCUGGAGACGGUAAGGGAGCAGGCGCGGGGAUACUCUGGGCGAUCCUCUGGUUCCUCAUCUUAAUCUUCCUCGGCUGGCCAAUCGGAUUCUUCAUCGCUUGGCUGUACGUUCUCCUCCUGCCGUUCGCUGCGUGUAUCAAACCGCUCAAGGACGUCUGUGAUAGCAUUCUCAAGAUUGUACAGCUUCCUUACACUUGCGCUGAGAACAUGGUAAACAUGAAACCAAUCUGCUAGGCGGUGGAUGUGCGGGACUUGAAACACACGUGGAGGAUUCUUCCAAAAGGUGGCAACACUGAUAACCUAUUCCGUGUUGUCGGUUUCCAUCCUUACACAUUCGCAAAGAGUAUGGCGAAGACGAAAUUAAUUUGAUCAGCCGUCGUUUCGCAAGUAUGAAGAAAUGAAUUCUCCCAAAGAUGGCAGCACUCAUACCAACUUCUGUGUUGUCGAUUUCCAAUUGACUUAAAGGGGAAAACAAGUAUAAUGAAUCAACGAUGAUGGACCAUCAGCUGGCACACAGCUACCACUGCAAGGAGAUAGCGGACUGGCUGUAGAAGCUAAAUGAUAUAGCGUACAGGCCCCCUAUAUAAGCGUUUAUUUCUGAACAUUCUGAAAGGUAGUCGCCCCCUCACGGCCAGUCCCCUGUUCUCCCUUUAACUUGUCAUGAGUAUAUGAAAUCUACAACCAUCAGCUCGUUGGACAAAGUUUCAUGACAGUUGUUUCAUGAUCAAGUUUGCCCAGCAUAAACUAUCACAUGAUUUUCCUAUCAUAUCAUGAUUUAAGCGAGGAUACUGUUUGCAUGACCUCAUGACAUCUCAAGAUCAUCACCUGACACUGAUCCCAUAACAGGAGGUUUUAACCUUUCAAGAGUGACCUAGUCGUUUGUACAGAUAUAUUCAACUACAGAACUACAGAUUUUGGCCGAUUUUCAGUUGGACUGAGAACAAAACACGAACUGUAUGUGCGUACGGGAUAUACUAUGUUUUUUUAUUUAUCCAUUUCAUGCUGUCAAUAUUAUUUAAAUGUAUAACAUGUAUUUUGCUCAAGAAACUUGAGUAUAUGCCUUUGGAAGUAAUGUUCCCAUACUUCGAUAUGACUUACUUUCGGCAGGAACUGGUAUUUGGUGCUCAGAAACUUGUAAAUAAGUUUUCUACAUUUUAUAGCUCUUUAUAGAUCUGUGAUUUCUGAUGUAAAUAAUGUUAAGAUCACAAUGUAAAGAUUUAUAUUAAUCGAUUCGGGAGUUUGAAAUCACUGACAGUCAAAGUUCACAGAUCUUUUCAAAUAAUGUGUAAGGCAAUCAGAAAAAUUUCUUAUUGUCAUCAGCACGGGUAUGUCUAUGAUCAUACAUGUAGCAUUCAAUUAGCAGGGCUCAUCCUGACAAUAUAUCGGGCCAUUUCACUCGAUACUACUUACUCCCUCGGAAACAUGCGUAAGGAGAAGUCGUGCUGUGGGCCCUGUUUGCAAGAGGAUGGGCACUUAUUGACACAAUGGGUAAUAUGAAUAAUGACUAGUAAUGCUUUUACUUCAGUUUCGUACACAAAGGCCAAGUGUAAAUGUGCAUGUACAUGAUGUUUUCAGUAAAAGCAUUGACUGGCCUUAAUUCAUAUCAUCCAAUGUUCUGUACCUCUACUGGUAUCAUGAGUAUGUAGAUAAUAUAGCUUUGCAAAUAAAACAAAUAGAUUUAUAGAUAAA
This is a long non-coding RNA of Lineus longissimus, 1970 nucleotides long. RefSeq lists it as uncharacterized. Lineage: Eukaryota; Metazoa; Nemertea; Pilidiophora; Heteronemertea; Lineidae. The transcript is spliced from 2 exons. The record is from RefSeq and is a predicted model, not a curated record.